This 72-nucleotide transfer RNA is filed under the name Elioraea tepidiphila. RNAcentral describes it as "tRNA-Val". It matches the Rfam family "tRNA". From Rfam's summary of the family: Transfer RNA (tRNA) molecules are approximately 80 nucleotides in length. Their secondary structure includes four short double-helical elements and three loops (D, anti-codon, and T loops). RNAcentral also lists the same sequence under 9 other names. Lineage: Bacteria; Pseudomonadati; Pseudomonadota; Alphaproteobacteria; Acetobacterales; Elioraeaceae. The record is from RNAcentral.
GGGCGCGUAGCUCAGCGGGAGAGCACCACCUUGACACGGUGGGGGUCACAGGUUCAAUCCCUGUCGCGCCCA